UGGGGAAUAUUGGGCAAUGGGCGAAAGCCUUACCCAGCAACGCCGCGUGAGGGAAGAAGGUUUUCGGAUUGUAAACCUCUGUCCUGGGGGACGAAGGAAGUGACGGUACCCCGGGAGGAAGCCCCGGCUAACUACGUGCCAGCAGCCGCGGUAAUAACGUAGGGGGCGAGCGGUUGUCCGGAAUUAUUGGGCGUAAAGGGCGCGUAGACGGCCGAGUAAGUUAUAGGUGAAAGCCCAUCUUUCAAGGAUGGAAUUGCCUGUAAUACUGCCUGGCUUGAGUGCAGGAGAGGGAAGCGGAAUUCCUAGUGUAGCGGUGAAAUGCGUAGAUAUUAGGAGGAACACCAGUGGCGAAGGCGGCUUUCUGGACUGUAACUGACGUUGAGGCGCGAAAGCGUGGGGAGCAAACAAGAUUAGAUACC
RNAcentral lists this ribosomal RNA (419 nucleotides) under uncultured bacterium. RNAcentral describes it as "bacterial SSU rRNA". It matches the Rfam family "Bacterial small subunit ribosomal RNA", at positions 355 to 786 of the family's 1533-position model. The record is from RNAcentral.